UGCGCAGGCGGUCUGUUAAGCAAGGUGUGAAAGCCCCCGGCUCAACCGGGGGAAUUGCGCUUUGAACUGGCAGGCUGGAGUGAGAUAGAGGUGUGUGGAACUUCCGGUGGAGCGGUGAAAUGUGUUGAUAUCGGAAGGAACGCCAGAGGCGAAAGCGACACACUGGGUCUCAACUGACGCUGAGGCAAAGCCAGGGGAGCGAAACG
This 206-nucleotide ribosomal RNA is filed under the name uncultured bacterium. RNAcentral's name for it is "partial 16S ribosomal RNA". It matches the Rfam family "Bacterial small subunit ribosomal RNA", at positions 568 to 775 of the family's 1533-position model. The record is from RNAcentral.